CAGAACUCAGCAGCCAGCAAGCAUAUGCUUUGCUUCAUAGGAAAAGCCUAUUGACAAUGUAUAAGAUAAAUUCAUACCCAAAAAGUGCCCAAAACCCACCUAAACCAAGAAAAAUGCUGCUUCAAUGUAGGUUAAAUCAGGGUUUUAAUGACUGAGACUACCCAGGGUCUUGGCUCUGCUUGUAUCAUAAUUUUCUUUUUGGGUCAAAGAUCUCAUUAUUUGGUAUUCACAUUGAAUCCCGAUUAUUUUAAAGUCAAACCAGGUUGAACAUCAUUUACUUUUUUCCGUUCACAAUAUUC
This 299-nucleotide long non-coding RNA is filed under the name Gossypium barbadense (sea-island cotton). Its description in RNAcentral is "long non-coding RNA (GBAR_LNC008501)". The record is from RNAcentral. Lineage: Eukaryota; Viridiplantae; Streptophyta; Magnoliopsida; Malvales; Malvaceae.